AUGUAAACAAAAAGGAUUUUUUAAAUAACACAAACAAUCAGGAUUUUUUGAAAAUUUUAUCACAUUUAAACAUAC
Molecule: transfer RNA, 75 nt
Filed under: Tiarina fusus
Lineage: Eukaryota; Ciliophora; Prostomatea; Prorodontida; Colepidae
Description: Tiarina fusa tRNA
Source: RNAcentral